UAGGCUGUUUAUUAAGUUGGGGGUGAAAUCUCCGGGCUCAACCCGGAGCUCGUUCUCAAAACUGGUAGACUUGAGUAAGGUAGAGGCUGACGGAAUUCUGCAAGUAGGGGUAAAAUCCGUUGAUCUGCAGAGGAACACCAAAAGCGAAGGCAGUCAGCUGGGCCUUUACUGACGCUGAGGGACGAAAGCGUGGGUAGCGAACGGGAUUAGAUACCCCGGUAGUCCACGCCGUAAAUGAUGGAUACUGGACAUUGGUACUCGAUCGUAUCAGUGUCUCAAGCUAACGCAUUAAGUAUCCCGCCUGGGGAGUACGGUCGCAAGAUUAAAACUCAAAGGAAUAGACGGGGACCCACACAAGCGGUGGAGCAUGUGGUUUAAUUCGACAAUAAGCGAGGAACCUUACCAGGGCUUGACAUCCCGAGAAUUCUUUAGAAAUAGAGAAGUGCCUUUAUGGAACUCGGUGACAGGUGCUGCAUGGUUGUCGUCAGCUCGUGCCUUGAGGUGUUCGGUUAAGUCCGUAAACGAGCGCAACCCUAGUCCUAUGUUGUAUAUUUCAUAGGAGACUGCCUUGUCCAACGAGGAGGAAGGUUAGGAUGACGUCAAAUCAGCAUGGCCCUUAUGUCUUGGGCGACACACGUGCUACAAUGGUCGGUACAAUGGGUAGCCAACCCGCGAGGGGGAGCCAAUCCCAUCAAAGCCGGUCCAAGUUCGGAUUGGAGGCUGCAACUCGC
RNAcentral lists this ribosomal RNA (731 nucleotides) under uncultured Microgenomates group bacterium. Its description in RNAcentral is "bacterial SSU rRNA". It matches the Rfam family "Bacterial small subunit ribosomal RNA", at positions 572 to 1315 of the family's 1533-position model. The record is from RNAcentral.